This 541-nucleotide ribosomal RNA is filed under the name Saccharomyces cerevisiae (brewer's yeast). RNAcentral's name for it is "LSU rRNA". It matches the Rfam family "Eukaryotic large subunit ribosomal RNA", at positions 68 to 612 of the family's 3401-position model. The record is from RNAcentral. Lineage: Eukaryota; Fungi; Ascomycota; Saccharomycetes; Saccharomycetales; Saccharomycetaceae.
ACCGGGAUUGCCUUAGUAACGGCGAGUGAAGCGGCAAAAGCUCAAAUUUGAAAUCUGGUACCUUCGGUGCCCGAGUUGUAAUUUGGAGAGGGCAACUUUGGGGCCGUUCCUUGUCUAUGUUCCUUGGAACAGGACGUCAUAGAGGGUGAGAAUCCCGUGUGGCGAGGAGUGCGGUUCUUUGUAAAGUGCCUUCGAAGAGUCGAGUUGUUUGGGAAUGCAGCUCUAAGUGGGUGGUAAAUUCCAUCUAAAGCUAAAUAUUGGCGAGAGACCGAUAGCGAACAAGUACAGUGAUGGAAAGAUGAAAAGAACUUUGAAAAGAGAGUGAAAAAGUACGUGAAAUUGUUGAAAGGGAAGGGCAUUUGAUCAGACAUGGUGUUUUGUGCCCUCUGCUCCUUGUGGGUAGGGGAAUCUCGCAUUUCACUGGGCCAGCAUCAGUUUUGGUGGCAGGAUAAAUCCAUAGGAAUGUAGCUUGCCUCGGUAAGUAUUAUAGCCUGUGGGAAUACUGCCAGCUGGGACUGAGGACUGCGACGUAAGUCAAGGA